AAUAGAUACCCUGGUAGUCCACCCCGUAAACGUUGGGAACUAGUUGUGGGGACCAUUCCACGGUUUCCGUGACGCAGCUAACGCAUUAAGUUCCCCGCCUGGGGAGUACGGCCGCAAGGCUAAAACUCAAAGGAAUUGACGGGGACCCGCACAAGCGGCGGAGCAUGCGGAUUAAUUCGAUGCAACGCGAAGAACCUUACCAAGGCUUGACAUAUACGAGAACGGGCCAGAAAUGGUCAACUCUUUGGACACUCGUAAACAGGUGGUGCAUGGUUGUCGUCAGCUCGUGUCGUGAGAUGUUGGGUUAAGUCCCGCAACGAGCGCAACCCUCGUUCUAUGUUGCCAGCACGUAAUGGUGGGAACUCAUGGGAUACUGCCGGGGUCAACUCGGAGGAAGGUGGGGAUGACGUCAAAUCAUCAUGCCCCUUAUGUCUUGGGCUUCACGCAUGCUACAAUGGCCGGUACAAAGGGCUGCAAUACCGUAAGGUGGAGCGAAUCCCAAAAAGCCGGUCCCAGUUCGGAUUGAGGUCUGCAACUCGACCUCA
RNAcentral lists this ribosomal RNA (545 nucleotides) under uncultured bacterium. RNAcentral's name for it is "bacterial SSU rRNA". It matches the Rfam family "Bacterial small subunit ribosomal RNA", at positions 777 to 1320 of the family's 1533-position model. The record is from RNAcentral.